UUCUGUUGUGAUUUGUAUUUUGUUUUAUUCCUUAAGGCAAAUCACUAGGCAUUGGUGUUACACUUAAAAUGAAUUAUAGGCAAGCAUUACAUCUUGGUAGAUUCUAAAGCAUUUAGAUUAAUUGUCCUGAUGGGCCUCAUUUCUCAAGAAAAACAUCCUGUUUCAGUCAUUUCAGUGGGUGGGGAACAACACAGGACAUCUGAAAGAGAUGGAUGUUGGUGGAGACCGUGUGAGAGAUGAAGUGAGCCCAUAUAUAAGGAAAAGACACAAUAUCCUGGCUUCAGGCACCCGGUAAUGUUCAUCCUAGACUAAUGCAGGU
This is a long non-coding RNA of Carassius auratus (goldfish), 319 nucleotides long. RefSeq lists it as uncharacterized. The record is from RefSeq and is a predicted model, not a curated record. The transcript is spliced from 3 exons. NCBI's taxonomy places the organism in Eukaryota, Metazoa, Chordata, Actinopteri, Cypriniformes, Cyprinidae.